UACGUAGGGUGCAAGCGUUGUCCGGAAUUAUUGGGCGUAAAGAGCUCGUAGGCGGUCUGUCGCGUCUGCUGUGAAAACUCAGGGCUCAACCUCGAGACGCCGGUGGAAACCAUCAGGCUAGAGUCCGGAAGAGGAGAGUGGAAUUCCUGGUGUAGCGGUGAAAUGCGCAGAUAUCAGGAAGAACACCCGUGGCUAAGGCGGCUCUCUAGUACGGUACUGACGCUGAGACGCGAAAGCGUGGGGAGCAAACAGG
RNAcentral lists this ribosomal RNA (253 nucleotides) under uncultured bacterium. Its description in RNAcentral is "partial 16S ribosomal RNA". It matches the Rfam family "Bacterial small subunit ribosomal RNA", at positions 524 to 776 of the family's 1533-position model. The record is from RNAcentral.